RNAcentral lists this ribosomal RNA (119 nucleotides) under Gossypium hirsutum (cotton). Lineage: Eukaryota; Viridiplantae; Streptophyta; Magnoliopsida; Malvales; Malvaceae. The record is from RNAcentral.
GGGUGUGAUCAUACCAGCACUAAUGCACCGAAUCCCAUCAGAACUCCGAAGUUAAGCGUGAUUGGGCGAGAGUAGUACUAGGAUUGGUGACCUCCUAGGAAGUCCUCGUGUUGCACCAC